This 437-nucleotide long non-coding RNA is filed under the name Gallus gallus (chicken). Lineage: Eukaryota; Metazoa; Chordata; Aves; Galliformes; Phasianidae. The record is from RNAcentral.
UUGGGAAAACAAGCAUGGCAACUAAUUUGCCUUUCAUACUGAAGAAAAGUAAGUUGGAGAAGUAAUAAAUAUUCAUACUUACUAUCUGUCCUAGCUAUACUGUGCUAUUUUCUGUUCUUCUGGCAGAAAUUUAACGUCAAAUAAUCUCAAUGAAUCUCUUGUCUGGGUGUCACCACAGGAGCCAGAUGUGCCUGGAAAGUACUCCUUCUAUCUGUGAGUGGGGUCCCAUGAUGUAUCAUUGGCAGUUCUUCAUCUUCUUGACUUUCAGAUGUGAUAUAAUUUAAGAUUUCUACUGGAUCUUCCUGAACGGGCUGAUAGUCCAGGAGAAAAUCAUUCCCACAGUCUUCAUCAACUUCUUCAGUGGUUUUCUUAAUAUCUGGUUCUGAAUUUGAUGACUGUGCCUUUUCCACCAGAACUUCUCGUAUCUUCUCCACCCA